CAUCCUUUUGGAUGAGUUAUUUCAAUGAGUUGAAUACAAAUGAUUCUUCGAGUAGCAAGGAGAGGGCAAGUCUGGUGCCAGCAGCCGCGGUAAUUCCAGCUCUCCUAGUGUAUCUCGUUAUUGCUGCGGUUAAAAAGCUCGUAGUUGGAUCUAGGUUACGUGCUGCAGUUCGCAAUUUGCGUCAACUGUAGUCGUGACUUCUAAUUUGCUGGUUUGAGGUUGGGUUCGCCCUUCAACUGCCAGCAGGUUUACCUUGAAUAAAUCAGAGUGCUCAAAACAAGUGUUUGCUUGAAUAGCUCAUCAUGGAAUAAUGAAACAGGACUUCGGUUCUUUUUGUUGGUUCUAGAACUGAUUUAAUGGUUAAGAGGGACAAACCGGGGGCAUUCGUAUCAUUACGCGAGAGGUGAAAUUCGUGGACCGUAGUGAGACGCCCAACAGCGAAAGCAUUUGCCAAGAAUGUCUUCAUUAAUCAAGAACGAAAGUCAGAGGUUCGAAGGCGAUUAGAUACCGCCCUAGUUCUGACCGUAAACGAUGCCAUCUCGCGAUUCGGAGGGUUUUUGCCCUGCCGAGGAGCUAUCCGGAAACGAAAGUCUUUCGGUUCCGGGGGUAGUAUGGUUGCAAAGCUGAAACUUAAAGAAAUUGACGGAAGGGCACCACAAGGCGUGGAGCUUGCGGCUUAAUUUGACUCAACACGGGAAAACUCACCCGGUCCGGACACCAUUAGGACUGACAGAUUGAAAGCUCUUUCUCGAUUUGGUGGUUGGUGGUGCAUGGCCGCUCUUAGUUGGUGGAGUGAUUUGUCUGGUUUAUUCCGAUAACGAGCGAGACUCUAGCCUGCUAAAUAGUUGGCGAAUCUUCGGGUUCGUAUAACUUCUUAGAGGGAUAAGCGGUGUUUAGCCGCACGAGAUUGAGCGAUAACAGGUCUGUGAUGCCCUUAGAUGUCCGGGGCUGCACGCGUGCUACACUGGUGGACUCAGCGGGUUUUUCCUAUGCCGAAAGGUAUCGGUAAACCGUUGAAAUUCUUCCAUGUCCGGGAUAGGGUAUUGUAAUUAUUGCCCUUAAACGAGGAAUGCCUAGUAAGUGUGAGUCAUCAGCUCACGUUGAUUACGUCCCUGCCCUUUGUACACACCGCCCGUCGCUAUCCGGGACUGAACUGAUUCGAGAAGAGUGGGGACUGUCGCUUCGAGGUUUAACGACUUCGUUGUUGCGGAAACCAUUUUUAUCGCAUUGGUUUGAACCGGGUAAAAGUCGUAACAAGGUAGCUGUAGGUGAACCUGCAGCUG
This 1283-nucleotide ribosomal RNA is filed under the name Caenorhabditis elegans. Its description in RNAcentral is "SSU rRNA". It matches the Rfam family "Eukaryotic small subunit ribosomal RNA", at positions 489 to 1823 of the family's 1831-position model. The record is from RNAcentral. RNAcentral also lists the same sequence under 1 other name. Lineage: Eukaryota; Metazoa; Nematoda; Chromadorea; Rhabditida; Rhabditidae.